Molecule: ribosomal RNA, 450 nt
Filed under: uncultured bacterium
Lineage: Bacteria
Description: partial 16S ribosomal RNA
Rfam family: Bacterial small subunit ribosomal RNA
Source: RNAcentral
GUGGGGAAUAUUGGACAAUGGGCGAAAGCCUGAUCCAGCCAUGCCGCGUGUGUGAAGAAGGUCUUCGGAUUGUAAAGCACUUUAAGUUGGGAGGAAGGGCAGUAAGUUAAUACCUUGCUGUUUUGACGUUACCGACAGAAUAAGCACCGGCUAACUUCGUGCCAGCAGCCGCGGUAAUACGAAGGGUGCAAGCGUUAAUCGGAAUUACUGGGCGUAAAGCGCGCGUAGGUGGUUUUGUAAGUUGGAGGUGAAAUCCCCGGGCUCAACCUGGGAACUGCCUCAAAAACUGCAUGACUAGAGUACGGUGGAGGGUAGUGGAAGUUCCUGUGUAGCGGUGAAAUGCGUAGAUAUAGGAAGGAACACCAGUGGCGAAGGCGACUACCUGGACUGAUACUGACACUGAGGUGCGAAAGCGUGGGGAGCAAACAGGAUUAGAUACCCUAGUAGUCC